AUUGAACGCUGGCGGCAUGCUCUACACAUGCAAGUCGAACGGUAACAGGCCGCAAGGUGCUGACGAGUGGCGAACGGGUGAGUAAUGCAUCGGAACGUGCCCAGUCGUGGGGGAUAACUACUCGAAAGAGUAGCUAAUACCGCAUACGAUCUAUGGGUGAAAGCGGGGGACCGUAAGGCCUCGCGCGAUUGGAGCGGCCGAUGUCAGAUUAGGUAGUUGGUGGGGUAAAGGCUCACCAAGCCAACGAUCUGUAGCUGGUCUGAGAGGACGACCAGCCACACUGGGACUGAGACACGGCCCAGACUCCUACGGGAGGCAGCAGUGGGGAAUUUUGGACAAUGGGCGCAAGCCUGAUCCAGCAAUGCCGCGUGCAGGAAGAAGGCCUUCGGGUUGUAAACUGCUUUUGUACGGAACGAAACGGCUCUGGUUAAUACCCGGGGCUAAUGACGGUACCGUAAGAAUAAGCACCGGCUAACUACGUG
This 482-nucleotide ribosomal RNA is filed under the name uncultured bacterium. RNAcentral describes it as "partial 16S ribosomal RNA". It matches the Rfam family "Bacterial small subunit ribosomal RNA", at positions 30 to 507 of the family's 1533-position model. The record is from RNAcentral.